AAGGAAAAAGGGUGAUUUUAUUUUUUAUUUUUAUAAGUAAACAGUAGUAUUAAUAAGAAUAGACAUAGCCUAGGUACACAAGAUGUUAUACAAGAGAUAAAACCUAUCUAGUUUGCUAAAAAAGAAAUAAGAAAAUCAUGUACAUUUAGGCCAUUAAAAUCUACAGCAAUAGCCCAAAGAAAUAAGGUGCGGAAAAAUAAAAUCCUAAGAUCCUCUAUUGUCUGCUCCUCAUAUUCA
This is a long non-coding RNA of Juglans microcarpa x Juglans regia, 237 nucleotides long. RefSeq lists it as uncharacterized. The transcript has 3 exons. NCBI's taxonomy places the organism in Eukaryota, Viridiplantae, Streptophyta, Magnoliopsida, Fagales, Juglandaceae. The record is from RefSeq and is a predicted model, not a curated record.